UUAAAAUCUUACCUUAACCACGUAAUUCCAAAUGUUAUUUGAGUGUUCCAGCUAUUGAAAAAGCCCUUGAUUCCGUAAAGAUUAGUUUUAGAAAACAACUCUAAAGGUAGAAACAUAUUACUGAAUUAAACAAUUAAUUCUCUUUUUCUGGCUAUUGCGAAUUUUGACUUCAUGAAGCUGAUGCAGAUUUAAACCCUCCUUAUAAUGGUUCUACAAAACUUAUAUGUCAAACUGAAAGAUUGUUGGAGAAAAAAGAGGAAAAACUUUGCAUUAAAGUGCUGCAAACUUUUAAAGAAAUGAUGCCAUUAGACCCAGACUAU
Parasteatoda tepidariorum (common house spider) is the source of this 320-nucleotide non-coding RNA. NCBI's taxonomy places the organism in Eukaryota, Metazoa, Arthropoda, Arachnida, Araneae, Theridiidae. The record is from RefSeq and is a predicted model, not a curated record.